RNAcentral lists this ribosomal RNA (256 nucleotides) under uncultured bacterium. Its description in RNAcentral is "partial 16S ribosomal RNA". It matches the Rfam family "Bacterial small subunit ribosomal RNA", at positions 524 to 776 of the family's 1533-position model. The record is from RNAcentral.
UACGUAGGGGUGCGAGCGUUUAAUCGGAAUUACUGGGCGUAAAGCGUGCGCAGGCGGUUUUUGCAAGACAGAUGUGAAAUCCCCGGGCUUAACCUGGGAACUGCAUUUGUGACUGCAAGGCUAGAGUGUGUCAGAGGGAGGUGGAAUUCCGCGUGUAGCAGUGAAAUGCGUAGAGAUGCGGAGGAACACCGAUGGCGAAGGCAGCCUCCUGGGAUAACACUGACGCUCAUGCACGAAAGCGUGGGGAGCAAACAGG